AGGUUGAUUUAUAAGCGCUGCUCUGG
This 26-nucleotide non-coding RNA is filed under the name Cricetulus griseus (Chinese hamster). The record is from RNAcentral. Lineage: Eukaryota; Metazoa; Chordata; Mammalia; Rodentia; Cricetidae.